Long non-coding RNA from Triticum dicoccoides, 388 nucleotides. RefSeq lists it as uncharacterized. The transcript has 2 exons. NCBI's taxonomy places the organism in Eukaryota, Viridiplantae, Streptophyta, Magnoliopsida, Poales, Poaceae. The record is from RefSeq and is a predicted model, not a curated record.
UACAGUACCAAUACCAAUACAAAUACUGAAGGAGCUCAUUCUGACAAUGAUCGUAACAAUACCACCAUAUUUGUUGGAGGCCAUGACUCCAAUGUCAAGUGUUCGCUCCAUAUGGGGAAGUCGUCCAUGUCAAGAUCCCUGUUGGGAAGAGAUGUGGCUAAAUUACUCCUGUCAGUGCAUAUUCAGGCCUUCUGCCGAGCAAGCUCUGCAACUGCUGCAAGGGACCUUUUUUUUGGUGGUCAGAAUGUGAGCCUUUCACGGGGAAGAAGCCCUUUGAACAAACAAACUCAUGUUAAUUCUUGCGUACCGAACUUCUAUAAUGCCUUGAGUUGUAUAUAUACUAGAGGUAAAGUGGGUAAUAUAUAACAUGUGAACAUUUUCAGCCUCA